CGCAUCUGUGCAUGCAGCAUAUCAAUAAGCGGAGGAAAAGAAACUAACAAGGAUUCCCCUAGUAACGGCGAGUGAAGCGGGAAGAGCUCAAAUUUGAAAUCUUAAAGGGUUUCCCUUUACGAAUUGUAGUUUAAAGAAGUGUUUUCUGUUGAGGUUUUGGUAAAAGUUCUUUGGAAUAGGACAUCAUAGAGGGUGAGAAUCCCGUAUUUGACCUUUACUUUCAACUUUGUGAUACACUUUCAAAGAGUCGGAUUGUUUGGGAAUGCAGUCCAAGAUGGGUGGUAAAUUUCAUCUAAAGCUAAAUAUUGGCGAGAGACCGAUAGCGAACAAGUACCGUGAGGGAAAGAUGAAAAGAACUUUGAAAAGAGAGUUAAACAGUACGUGAAAUUGUCAAAAGGGAAGCGUUUGACACCAGUGUUGUUUUUCUGAAAAUCAAUUAAAGAACUGUUUAUGCUAAGCUGUUUAGACUUUAUCAGCUAUCUGUUUAGUUUUGAGCUUUUCUUUAAUGCACUUUUCAGUUAACAAGUCAACAUCAAUUUCUUUUGCUGUAAAAAAGCUCGAGGAAGGUGGCUUGAGAUUCGUCUUAAGUGUUUAUAGCCUCUUGCCUAUGCAGUCGGAGAGAUUGAGGUCUGCAGCGUAGAUCCUUCGGGGCUAAAUGCAUUUGUGCUAAGUUAUAGCAUUUUAUAGACAACUUGUUGACUAUGAUUUGUCUUGUAGCUUACUCGCUUAUGUUAUUUUACCUACGCUUAGGAUGUUGAGCGCAUGUCUCUCUCU
This 774-nucleotide ribosomal RNA is filed under the name uncultured Neocallimastigales. Its description in RNAcentral is "partial large subunit ribosomal RNA". It matches the Rfam family "Eukaryotic large subunit ribosomal RNA", at positions 26 to 616 of the family's 3401-position model. The record is from RNAcentral. Lineage: Eukaryota; Fungi; Neocallimastigomycota; Neocallimastigomycetes; Neocallimastigales.